This 973-nucleotide ribosomal RNA is filed under the name Streptococcus thermophilus. RNAcentral describes it as "bacterial SSU rRNA". It matches the Rfam family "Bacterial small subunit ribosomal RNA", at positions 60 to 1022 of the family's 1533-position model. The record is from RNAcentral. Lineage: Bacteria; Bacillati; Bacillota; Bacilli; Lactobacillales; Streptococcaceae.
UAUCGUACGUACCGUAUCGUAAGGUGUCCUGUAUGCAUGACUUGGUAACCGAGAUCAACGCGUAGGUACCCUGCCUUGUAACGGGGGAUAACUAUUGGAAACGAUAGCUAAUACAGCAUAACAAUGGAUGACACAUGUCAUUUAUUUGAAAGGGGCAAUUGCUCCACUACAAGAUGGACCUGCGUUGUAUUAGCUAGUAGGUGAGGUAAUGGCUCACCUAGGCGACGAUACAUAGCCGACCUGAGAGGGUGAUCGGCCACACUGGGACUGAGACACGGCCCAGACUCCUACGGGAGGCAGCAGUAGGGAAUCUUCGGCAAUGGGGGCAACCCUGACCGAGCAACGCCGCGUGAGUGAAGAAGGUUUUCGGAUCGUAAAGCUCUGUUGUAAGUCAAGAACGGGUGUGAGAGUGGAAAGUUCACACUGUGACGGUAGCUUACCAGAAAGGGACGGCUAACUACGUGCCAGCAGCCGCGGUAAUACGUAGGUCCCGAGCGUUGUCCGGAUUUAUUGGGCGUAAAGCGAGCGCAGGCGGUUUGAUAAGUCUGAAGUUAAAGGCUGUGGCUCAACCAUAGUUCGCUUUGGAAACUGUCAAACUUGAGUGCAGAAGGGGAGAGUGGAAUUCCAUGUGUAGCGGUGAAAUGCGUAGAUAUAUGGAGGAACACCGGUGGCGAAAGCGGCUCUCUGGUCUGUAACUGACGCUGAGCUCGAAAGCGUGGGGAGCGAACAGGAUUAGAUACCCUGGUAGUCCACGCCGUAAACGAUGAGUGCUAGGUGUUGGAUCCUUUCCGGGAUUCAGUGCCGCAGCUAACGCAUUAAGCACUCCGCCUGGGGAGUACGACCGCAAGGUUGAAACUCAAAGGAAUUGAGGGGGCCCGCACAAGCGGUGGAGCAUGUGGUUUAAUUCGAACAACCGAAGAAUUACGUCUUGACUCCCGAUGCUUUUCUAAAGAUAGAAAGUUACUUCGACCUC